Rhineura floridana is the source of this 478-nucleotide long non-coding RNA. RefSeq lists it as uncharacterized. Lineage: Eukaryota; Metazoa; Chordata; Lepidosauria; Squamata; Rhineuridae. The transcript is spliced from 4 exons. The record is from RefSeq and is a predicted model, not a curated record.
AGCCUUUAAGUUUGGUUUGUAUUCAGUGUGGGGCUUGGAUAAAGAAUUUGCAUUGCUUUGACAGAGCCAAGGAGAUAUAGUUCCACAGUUCAUCCUCCACAACAAGAGCUGUCACCAGGAGAGGAACAGGAGGUGCAAGAACCCCACCAUGGUAGCGGACAUCUCCACACAAACUGAAGGCGUUCAACAGGCAACGCAGACAACCGAUGUGGAGGAUCUAAUGUCCAGAAUGCAACUGCUGGAGAGCAAGUUUUUAACUCAAGCUCAGUGCUCGGAGAACUGGAUGCAGUCCCUGGAGGAAGCCAUAUGAAAAAUGGAGAGCCUUUGGAUCACCAGACUACACAGGAGACUUCAAUUUCUGGAGUCAUUCCACUGUGCGCAACAAGCGGCUCAUGAGGCUCCGGUGCACCGCUAAGAUUUCCGGUGCACCGCUAACAAUUCCCAUGAGAGUUUGUAAAGGUUCAGUUAUUGUUAUUGU